UCGGAUAUGGUGUAACGGCUAACAUUGCCGCCUCUCAUUAGUAGCAUCUUAACAAUGUAAAUUAAGUGCGCGGCAGCUCGGGGUUCGAUUCCCCGUAUCCGAA
This is a non-coding RNA of Coprinopsis sp. MPI-PUGE-AT-0042, 103 nucleotides long. The record is from the annotation of a GenBank genome assembly. Lineage: Eukaryota; Fungi; Basidiomycota; Agaricomycetes; Agaricales; Psathyrellaceae.